This 2328-nucleotide long non-coding RNA is filed under the name Cairina moschata (Muscovy duck). RNAcentral's name for it is "domestica (muscovy Duck (domestic type)) lncRNA (ENSCMMG00000010403.1)". Lineage: Eukaryota; Metazoa; Chordata; Aves; Anseriformes; Anatidae. The record is from RNAcentral.
CCGUGACCCCAGACCCAAUUUUCACCCAUUAUUUUUUUAUAAUCCAUCUCCAAUUUAAUUUCGUUCCCUUUUUUACUCUGCCUCUGCACCGCUUCUGUUGCUUUUUCUAAUUUUAUCCUUCUCCAAUUUCACUUUUUCCCCCCCGUUUUUGCCUGCCCCCCCCCCCCAGCCCCUUCGUCAUCGACGAGUUCAAGCGCAAAUACUCCAACGAGGACACGCUGAGCGUGGCGCUGCCCCACUUCUGGGAGCACUUCGAUAAGGACGGCUGGUCCAUCUGGUACGCCGAGUACCGCUACCCCGAGGAGCUCACCCAGACCUUCAUGAGCUGCAACCUCAUCACCGGCAUGUUCCAGCGCCUGGACAAGCUGCGUAAGAACGCCUUCGCCAGCGUCAUCCUGUUCGGCACCAACAACGACAGCAGCAUCUCGGGCGUCUGGGUCUUCCGCGGCCAGGAGCUGGCCUUCACGCUGUGCCCGGACUGGCAGGUGGACUACGAGUCGUACGCGUGGCGCAAGCUGGACCCCGACAGCGCCGAGUGCCGGGCGCUGGUCAGGGAGUACUUCAGCUGGGAGGGCGACUUCCAGCACGUGGGCAAGGCCUUCAACCAGGGAAAGAUCUUCAAGUGACCCCCCCCGCGUCGCGACAGGGCACGGCACGUCGCGAUAGGGCGCGAUAUGGCACAACACGUCGCGAUAUGGCAUGAUAUGUCGCGAUAUGGCACAACACGUCGCGAUAUGGCGUGAUAUGUUGUGAUACAGCACGAUAUGUCGCGAUAGGGCACGAUAUGUCGUGAUAUGGCAUGGCAUGGUAUAGUGCGGUGGGUCGUGGUAUGGCGCGGUGUCGCGUUGUGUCAUGACAUGGCAGCGUGGUGUGAUGUAGUGUGAUGUGUCACGUGUCGUCAUGUCAUGACAUGUCUUCGUGUCGCAACAUGUCUUCAUGUCACAACAUGCUGUCAUGUCAUGACAUGUUGCAGUGUCUUUGUCACGACGUGUCCUCAUGUCAUGACAUGUCAUUCUGUCACACAUCACAUCACCGUGUCAUGACAUGUCAUAGCGUGUCCUCAUGUCACGACAUGUCAUUGUCACGACUGUCAGUGUGUGUCUUCAUGUCACAUGUCAUAUCACAUGUCACAACAUGUCACCAUGUCAUGACGUCAUGCCACAACAUGCCAUCACAUUUCAUUGUCAUGACAUGUCAUCAUGUUGCAGCAUGUCACAACAUGCCAGUGUCACAAUGUGUCAUGUCGCGACAUCACAUCACUGCCAUGACGUGUUGUGUCAUGACAUCACCAUGUCGUGAUGUCACGACAUGUCACACCAUGUCACUGUGUCACAACGUCAUGUCGUGACAUGUCACCAUGUCACAACGCGUCACGAUGUCGCAACUUGUUGCCAUGUCAUGUCGUGACGUGUCACUAUAUCGCGAUAUACCCCCACACAUGUUGCUGUCGCGACAUCCCUGUCACGCCGCCGUGUCACGCCGUGGCCGUGCCGUGAUGUCACCGUCGGGACGUGCCAGUGCGUGACGUCAUGUCGUGACAUCCCCGUGUCGCGCCGUGUCCCCCGCCUGUCCCCAUGUCGCGACAUGUCGUGACGCAUCGGAGCCACACAGCCAAUAAACAGGAACGGAUCCGGCCCUGGAGGUGGUCGGGGGGGAACUGGGGGAUACUGGGAGGUACUGGGAGCCACUGGGCACCCGUGGGAGUUACUGGGCGCCAUUUGGCACCAACUGGGGGGUUCUGGGAGCAGCUGUUGGGGGUUACUGGGACUUACUGGGUGAUACUGGGAGCCACUGGGCACCAUUUGGCACCAACUGGGUGUUACUGGGAGUCCUUGGGUGCUACUGGGAGUCACUGGGGGCUAUUGAGAGUUACUGGGCACCAACUGGGUGUUACUGGGAGCUGUUGGGCGUUACUGGGAGUUACUGGGUGAUACUGGGAGCCACUGGGGGUCACUGGAGCCCAUUGGGCACCACUGGGGGCUACUGGGAGCUGUUGGGGGUUACUGGGAGCCACUGGGAGCCGAGUCGCGGGGCGCUGCUGGGCGCCAGUGGCUGUUACUGGGAGCUACUGGGCGUUACUGGGAGCCACUGGGCGUUACUGGGAGCCAGCGGGCGGCACCGGCAGGCCCCGCCCCCCCGACACCACGUGACCCAGCGCCACCGCCCUCCUGGCCCCGCCCACGGAGACCACGCCCCCUUCCAUGCCACGCCCACUGAUGCCCCGCCCCCUUCAGACCACGCCCACUGUGGGCCCCGCCCCCUCAGGCCCCGCCCCCCGGAUCUGAGUCACGGCGGGACCGGGGCGGUGGCGGGGCCGCGCCCACCAGU